This 160-nucleotide non-coding RNA is filed under the name Escherichia coli. RNAcentral describes it as "partial 16S ribosomal RNA". It matches the Rfam family "Bacterial small subunit ribosomal RNA", at positions 1374 to 1533 of the family's 1533-position model. The record is from RNAcentral. Lineage: Bacteria; Pseudomonadati; Pseudomonadota; Gammaproteobacteria; Enterobacterales; Enterobacteriaceae. RNAcentral also lists the same sequence under 3 other names.
CCGGGCCUUGUACACACCGCCCGUCACACCAUGGGAGUGGGUUGCAAAAGAAGUAGGUAGCUUAACCUUCGGGAGGGCGCUUACCACUUUGUGAUUCAUGACUGGGGUGAAGUCGUAACAAGGUAACCGUAGGGGAACCUGCGGUUGGAUCACCUCCUUA